CGUUGAAACACAGGCACUCAUACGAUCAUCGAAGUUAAGCAACGUCGAGCCUGCUCAGUACCUGGAUGGGUGACCGCAAGGGAAUACCAGCUGCUGUAA
This is a non-coding RNA of Acanthosepion pharaonis, 99 nucleotides long. The record is from the annotation of a GenBank genome assembly. NCBI's taxonomy places the organism in Eukaryota, Metazoa, Mollusca, Cephalopoda, Sepiida, Sepiidae.